UAGCUCAGUUGGUUAGAGCAGACGGCUCAUAACCGUCCGGUCGCAGGUUCGAGUCCUGCAAGGUCCA
RNAcentral lists this transfer RNA (67 nucleotides) under Listeria monocytogenes. Its description in RNAcentral is "tRNA-Met". It matches the Rfam family "tRNA". From Rfam's summary of the family: Transfer RNA (tRNA) molecules are approximately 80 nucleotides in length. Their secondary structure includes four short double-helical elements and three loops (D, anti-codon, and T loops). The record is from RNAcentral. Lineage: Bacteria; Bacillati; Bacillota; Bacilli; Caryophanales; Listeriaceae.